RNAcentral lists this ribosomal RNA (376 nucleotides) under uncultured Serratia sp. RNAcentral's name for it is "bacterial SSU rRNA". It matches the Rfam family "Bacterial small subunit ribosomal RNA", at positions 521 to 896 of the family's 1533-position model. Lineage: Bacteria; Pseudomonadati; Pseudomonadota; Gammaproteobacteria; Enterobacterales; Yersiniaceae. The record is from RNAcentral.
UAAUACGGAGGGUGCAAGCGUUAAUCGGAAUUACUGGGCGUAAAGCGCACGCAGGCGGUUUGUUAAGUCAGAUGUGAAAUCCCCGGGCUCAACCUGGGAACUGCAUUUGAAACUGGCAAGCUAGAGUCUCGUAGAGGGGGGUAGAAUUCCAGGUGUAGCGGUGGAAAUGCGUAGAGAUCUGGAGGAAUACCGGUGGCGAAGGCGGCCCCCUGGACGAAGACUGACGCUCAGGUGCGAAAGCGUGGGGAGCAAACAGGAUUAGAUACCCUGGUAGUCCACGCUGUAAACGAUGUCGAUUUGGAGUUGUGCCCUUGAGGCGUGGCUUCCGGAGCUAACGCGUUAAAUCGACCGCCUGGGGAGUACGGCCGCAAGGUUA